This 476-nucleotide ribosomal RNA is filed under the name uncultured bacterium. RNAcentral's name for it is "bacterial SSU rRNA". It matches the Rfam family "Bacterial small subunit ribosomal RNA", at positions 29 to 480 of the family's 1533-position model. The record is from RNAcentral.
AACUAACGCUGGCGGCGUGCCUAACACAUGCAAGUCGUACGAGAAAGUCGGCUUCGGCUGAUGAGUAAAGUGGCGCACGGGUGAGUAACGCGUGGAUAAUCUGCCCUUGAGUGUGGAAUAACGUACCGAAAGGUGCGCUAAUACCGCAUAAUGCCUGGCAACACAAGUUGUCCGGCCAAAGAAGGCCUCUGUUUACAAGCUUUUGCUCAAGGAUGAGUCCGCGUACCAUUAGCUAGUUGGUGGGGUAACGGCCUACCAAGGCUACGAUGGUUAGCUGGUCUGAGAGGAUGAUCAGCCACACUGGAACUGAGACACGGUCCAGACUCCUACGGGAGGCAGCAGUGAGGAAUAUUGCGCAAUGGGGGCAACCCUGACGCAGCAACGCCGCGUGAGUGAGGAAGGUUUUCGGACUGUAAAGCUCUGUCGAGCGGGAAGAAAUGUACCAUGGCUAAUAUCCAUGAUAUUUGACGGUACCG